This 440-nucleotide ribosomal RNA is filed under the name uncultured bacterium. RNAcentral describes it as "partial 16S ribosomal RNA". It matches the Rfam family "Bacterial small subunit ribosomal RNA", at positions 338 to 795 of the family's 1533-position model. The record is from RNAcentral.
CCUACGGGUGGCAGCAGUGUGGAAUAUUGCACAAUGGGGGGAACCCUGAUGCAGCGACGCCGCGUGAGUGAAGACGUAUUUCGGUAUGUAAAGCUCUAUCAGCAGGGAAGAAAAUGACGGUACCUGACUACGAAGCCCCGGCUAACUACGUGCCAGCAGCCGCGGUAAUCCGUCGGGGGCCCGCGUUAUCCGGAUUUACUGGGUGUAAAGGGAGAGCAGGCGGGUGUGCAAGUCUGGAGGUAAAGACGGGGGGCCAAACCCCGUACUGCCGUGGAAACUGUAAGGCUGGAGUGCAGGAGAGGUAUGCGGAAUGCGUAGUGUAGCGGUGAAAUGCGUAGAUAUUAGGAGGAACACCAGUUGCGAAGGCGGCAUACUGGAGUGCAACUGACGUUGAGGCUCGAAAGCGUGGGGAGCAAACAGGAUUAGAUACCCGGGUAGUC